RNAcentral lists this ribosomal RNA (457 nucleotides) under uncultured bacterium. RNAcentral describes it as "partial 16S ribosomal RNA". It matches the Rfam family "Bacterial small subunit ribosomal RNA", at positions 28 to 523 of the family's 1533-position model. The record is from RNAcentral.
GAUGAACGCUGGCGGCGUGCCUAAUACAUGCAAGUCGAGCGGUAAGGCCCUUCGGGGUACACGAGCGGCGGACGGCUGAGUAACACGUAGGAACGUACCCCAAACUGAGGGAUAAGCACCAGAAAUGGUGUCUAAUACCGCAUGUGGCCCACGGGCUAAAGCUCCGGCGGUUUGGGAACGGCCUGCGUCCGAUUAGCUAGUUGGUAGUGUAAUAGACUACCAAGGCGACGAUCGGUAGCUGGUCUGAGAGGAUGAUCAGCCAGACUGGGACUGAGACACGGCCCAGACUCCUACGGGAGGCAGCAGUAGGGAAUUUUCCACAAUGGGGGCAACCCUGAUGGAGCGACGCCGCGUGCAGGAUGAAGGCCUUCGGGUUGUAAACUGCUUUUAUCUGUGACGAUUAUGACGGUAGCAGAUGAAUAAGGACCUGCUAACUACGUGCCAGCAGCCGCGGUAA